Molecule: long non-coding RNA, 357 nt
Filed under: Homo sapiens (human)
Lineage: Eukaryota; Metazoa; Chordata; Mammalia; Primates; Hominidae
Description: non-protein coding lnc-PON3-2:2
Source: RNAcentral
AUCGAGCCGGGAAGAUGGCACCGCCCACGGAGCUGCUGGCCAGGCCGGAGCGAGGCAGCGCGCCCGGCUCCCGCGCCAUGGGGCGGCUGGUGGCUGUGGGCUUGCUGGGGAUCGCGCUGGCGCUCCUGGGCGAGAGGCUUCUGGCACUCAAAAUCGACUUAAAGCCUCCAGAGAAGUAGAAUCUGUAGACCUUCCACACUGCCACCUGAUUAAAGGAAUUAAGCUGGCUCUGAAGAUAUUGACAUACUUCCCAAUGGUCUGGCUUUUUUUAGUGUGGUCUAAAAUUCCCAGGACUCCACAGCUUUGCACCAGAUAAGCCUGGAGGAAUACUAAUGAUGGAUCUAAAAGAAGAAAAAC